RNAcentral lists this ribosomal RNA (483 nucleotides) under uncultured bacterium. RNAcentral describes it as "partial 16S ribosomal RNA". It matches the Rfam family "Bacterial small subunit ribosomal RNA", at positions 28 to 523 of the family's 1533-position model. The record is from RNAcentral.
GAUGAACGCUGGCGGCGUGCCUAAUACAUGCAAGUCGAGCGAACCACUUCGGUGGUGAGCGGCGAACGGGUGAGUAACACGUAGGUGAUCUGCCCAUCAGACGGGGACAACGAUUGGAAACGAUCGCUAAUACCGGAUAGGACGAAAGUUUAAAGGUGCUUCUGGCACCGCUGAUGGAUGAGCCUGCGGCGCAUUAGCUAGUUGGUAGGGUAAAGGCCUACCAAGGCGACGAUGCGUAGCCGACCUGAGAGGGUGAACGGCCACACUGGGACUGAGAAACGGCCCAGGCUCCUACGGGAGGCAGCAGUAGGGAAUCUUCCGCAAUGGGCGAAAGCCUGUCGGAGCAACGCCGCGUGAGUGAUGAAGGUCUUCGUAUCGUAAAACUCUGUUGUUAGGGAAGAACAAAUUUGUUAGUAACUGAACAAGUCUUGACGGUACCUAACCAGAAAGCCACGGCUAACUACGUGCCAGCCGCCGCAGUAA